GACGAACGCUGGCGGCGUGCUUAACACAUGCAAGUCGAACGGAAAGGCCCUGCUUUUGUGGGGUGCUCGAGUGGCGAACGGGUGAGUAACACGUGAGUAACCUGCCCUUGACUUUGGGAUAACUUCAGGAAACUGGGGCUAAUACCGGAUAGGAGCUCCUGCUGCAUGGUGGGGGUUGGAAAGUUUCGGCGGUUGGGGAUGGACUCGCGGCUUAUCAGCUUGUUGGUGGGGUAGUGGCUUACCAAGGCUUUGACGGGUAGCCGGCCUGAGAGGGUGACCGGCCACAUUGGGACUGAGAUACGGACCAGACUCCUACGGGAGGCAGCAGUGGGGAGUAUUACACAAUGGGGGGAAGCGUGAUGCGGCAACGCCGCGUGCGGGAUGCCGGCUUUCGGGUUGUAAACCGCUUUCGCCUGUGACGAAGCGUGAGUGACGGUAAUGGGUAAAGAAGCACCGGCUAACUACGUG
RNAcentral lists this ribosomal RNA (468 nucleotides) under uncultured bacterium. RNAcentral's name for it is "partial 16S ribosomal RNA". It matches the Rfam family "Bacterial small subunit ribosomal RNA", at positions 28 to 507 of the family's 1533-position model. The record is from RNAcentral.